GGGGGAUGCAAAACUGCAAGUCGAGCGAGCUUGCCUAGAUGAUUUUAGUGCUUGCACUAAAUGAAACUAGAUACAAGCGAGCGGCGGACGGGUGAGUAACACGUGGGUAACCUGCCCAAGAGACUGGGAUAACACCUGGAAACAGAUGCUAAUACCGGAUAACAACACUAGACGCAUGUCUAGAGUUUGAAAGAUGGUUCUGCUAUCACUCUUGGAUGGACCUGCGGUGCAUUAGCUAGUUGGUAAGGUAACGGCUUACCAAGGCAAUGAUGCAUAGCCGAGUUGAGAGACUGAUCGGCCACAUUGGGACUGAGACACGGCCCAAACUCCUACGGGAGGCAGCAGUAGGGAAUCUUCCACAAUGGACGAAAGUCUGAUGGAGCAACGCCGCGUGAGUGAAGAAGGGUUUCGGCUCGUAAAGCUCUGUUGGUAGUGAAGAAAGAUAGAGGUAGUAACUGGCCUUUAUUUGACGGUAAUUACUUAGAAAGUCACGGCUAACUACGUGCCAGCAGCCGCGGUAAUACGUAGGUGGCAAGCGUUGUCCGGAUUUAUUGGGCGUAAAGCGAGUGCAGGCGGUUCAAUAAGUCUGAUGUGAAAGCCUUCGGCUCAACCGGAGAAUUGCAUCAGAAACUGUUGAACUUGAGUGCAGAAGAGGAGAGUGGAACUCCAUGUGUAGCGGUGGAAUGCGUAGAUAUAUGGAAGAACACCAGUGGCGAAGGCGGCUCUCUGGUCUGCAACUGACGCUGAGGC
This 750-nucleotide ribosomal RNA is filed under the name uncultured bacterium. RNAcentral describes it as "bacterial SSU rRNA". It matches the Rfam family "Bacterial small subunit ribosomal RNA", at positions 39 to 752 of the family's 1533-position model. The record is from RNAcentral.